RNAcentral lists this ribosomal RNA (598 nucleotides) under uncultured bacterium. RNAcentral's name for it is "bacterial SSU rRNA". It matches the Rfam family "Bacterial small subunit ribosomal RNA", at positions 57 to 650 of the family's 1533-position model. The record is from RNAcentral.
GCAAGUCGAGCGGUAGAGAGGUGCUUGCACCUCUUGAGAGCGGCGGACGGGUGAGUAAAGCCUAGGAAUCUGCCUGGUAGUGGGGGAUAACGCUCGGAAACGGACGCUAAUACCGCAUACGUCCUACGGGAGAAAGCAGGGGACCUUCGGGCCUUGCGCUAUCAGAUGAGCCUAGGUCGGAUUAGCUAGUUGGUGAGGUAAUGGCUCACCAAGGCGACGAUCCGUAACUGGUCUGAGAGGAUGAUCAGUCACACUGGAACUGAGACACGGUCCAGACUCCUACGGGAGGCAGCAGUGGGGAAUAUUGGACAAUGGGCGAAAGCCUGAUCCAGCCAUGCCGCGUGUGUGAAGAAGGUCUUCGGAUUGUAAAGCACUUUAAGUUGGGAGGAAGGGCAUUAACCUAAUACGUUAGUGUUUUGACGUUACCGACGGAAUAAGCACCGGCUAACUCUGUGCCAGCAGCCGCGGUAAUACAGAGGGUGCAAGCGUUAAUCGGAAUUACUGGGCGUAAAGCGCGCGUAGGUGGUUCGUUAAGUUGGAUGUGAAAUCCCCGGGCUCAACCUGGGAACUGCAUUCAAAACUGUCGAGCUAGAGUAUG